GCUCAGUAACACGUGGGUAACCUAACCUAUGCAGGGGAAUAACCUCGGGAAACUGAGUAUAAUGCCCCAUAGUCCACUACGCCUGGAACGGUGAGUGGAUCAAAGCUCAGGCGGCAUAGGAUGGGCCUGCGGCGUAUCAGGUUGUAGGGGGUGUAAAGUACCCUCUAGCCAUCUACGCGUACGGGUGUUGGGAGACAUAGCCCGGAGAUGGAUUCUGAGACACGAAUCCAGACCCUACGGGGUGCAGCAGGCGCGAAAACUUGACAAUGCGAGCAAUCGUGAUCAGGGAACUCCAAGUGGCUGGGGUAAGACCCAGUCUUUUCAUAACUCUUCAAAGGUUGUAGAAUAAGGGGUGGGUAAGGACGGUGCCAGCCGCCGCGGUAAUACCGGCGCCUCAAGUGGUAGUCGCUUUUAUUGGGCCUAAAACGUCCGUAGCCGGUUUGGUACAUUCGUGGGUAAAUCAACUCGCUCAACGAGUUGAAUUCUGCGAGGACGGCCAGACUUGGGACCGGGAGAGGUGUGGGGUACUCUCAGGGUAGGGGUAAAAUCCUGUCAUCCUUAGAGGACCACCAGUUGCGAAGGCGCCACACUGGAACGGAUUCGACGGUCAGGGACGAAGCCUAGGGGCACGAACCGGAUUAGAUACCCGGGUAGUCCUAGGUGUAAACGCUGUGAACUUGGUGUCGGGGAUCCGUCAUGGGUCCCCGGUGCCGGAGUGAAGAUGUUAAGUUCACUGCCUGGGGAGUACGGUCGCAAGGCUGAAACUCAAAGGAAUUGA
Molecule: ribosomal RNA, 778 nt
Filed under: uncultured archaeon
Lineage: Archaea
Description: bacterial SSU rRNA
Rfam family: Archaeal small subunit ribosomal RNA
Source: RNAcentral